This 21-nucleotide microRNA is filed under the name Bombyx mori (domestic silkworm). RNAcentral describes it as "bmo-miR-2808b". The record is from miRBase by way of RNAcentral. Lineage: Eukaryota; Metazoa; Arthropoda; Insecta; Lepidoptera; Bombycidae.
CGUAGAAUCUACCAUCGGAUC